AUCCAACUGACGAAUCCCAAAUAGGACGAAACGCGCGUCCUGGAU
Molecule: non-coding RNA, 45 nt
Organism: Schistosoma rodhaini
Lineage: Eukaryota; Metazoa; Platyhelminthes; Trematoda; Strigeidida; Schistosomatidae
Source: Rfam